UGGCGGCGUGCCUAACACACCAUGCAAAAGUCGAACGAGAAAGUAAGGAGCAAUCCAUGAGUACAGUGGCGUACGGGUGAGUAACACGUGACUAACCUACCCUCGAGUGGGGAAUAACUUCGGGAAACCGAGGCUAAUACCGCAUAAUGUCUGACCAAAUAAGCGCAAGCAGCUUGAAAGGAGGGGGUCGCCAACGGCUGAUUAGCUCGUUGGCGGGGUAACGGCCCACCAAGGCAAUGAUCAGUAGCCGGCCUGAGAGGGCGCACGGCCACACUGGAACUGAAACACGGUCCAGACUCCUACGGGAGGCGAAGCAGUGGGGAAUUUUGCGCAAUGGGGGAAACCCUGACGAACAGCAACGCCGCGUGGAGGAUGAAGCCCCUUGCCGGGGUGUAAACUCCUUUCGAUCGGGACGAUUAUGACGGCAUACCGGAUGAAGAAGCACCGGCUAACUCUGUGCCAGCAGCCGCGGUAAUACAGAGGGUGCAAGCGAAUUGUAAUCGGAAUUAUUGGGCGUAAAGGGUGCGUAGGCGCAAGUGCGGUAAGUCUUCUGUGAAACCUCCGGGCUUAACUCGGAGCCUGCAGGGGAAACUGCCGUGCUAAGGAGCAAUAUGGGAGAGGUGAGUGGAAUUCCCGGUAAGUAGCGGUGAAAUGCGUAGAUAUCGGGAGGAACACCUGUGGCGAAAGCGGCUCACUGGACCAUUACUGACGCUGAAAUGCACGAAAAGCUAGGGGAGCAAACAGGAUUAGAUACCCUGGUAGUCCUAGCCCUAAACUAUGAUAACGCUUGAAGUGAAUGACAGGUACCCAAUCCUG
Molecule: ribosomal RNA, 816 nt
Filed under: uncultured Acidobacteriota bacterium
Lineage: Bacteria; Pseudomonadati; Acidobacteriota
Description: bacterial SSU rRNA
Rfam family: Bacterial small subunit ribosomal RNA
Source: RNAcentral